GCCUGUGUAGUCAUCUGACAACUUGAGAAGCAGGAACAAAGCACUGGCAAGGCUGACAAAUCCUGCAGAUGCAGCAAGGAAGCAAAGAAAGCACAAAAGAAGUCUAUAAUGAUCGAAAGCCAAAGGGAAAAGGAAAGGAUCGUGGCCAAAUAGUGUCAAAUACCUGCUCCUCCCAAUAAUUUUAGUAGAGGCUCUCUUGCAAGAUCUGUCAUCAAGCAUAGAAGAUAUUGCUACACCACAAAUCCUGAUGUAUUUUCUACCUGCUUUGAAAGACACGGAGAUAUUAAACUGGAUGGACAAACCUGAAUGGCACAAAUACCAGAGGAACAGAUGGCAUGGAAGAUAAGUCCUCCCUGCCUGAACUGGGAAAGGAAAAAGAUACCCGUCUUGAGGAUCAACUCCAAGCAUGAAUUUGGAGUGACAUUCGCCAUUCAAGCAAUGGUUCCAGUGCUCUUCCUCCUUUUAAGGAUGCACUGCUCUCCUUUACUUGUAUACUAAGGCCUGACUCCCUCUCUCUUACUUUGAUAUUACCGCUGGUGACAGAACACAAGCAGUGCUGAAAUAGAGCUUGAUCUUCUAAGAUUUCUGCUCUCUGAGAUAAUCACAGACAAUUCUUGACUUUCAUCUGUGUGCUUAUCAUUUAGAAAUGAGCCAUCGGACCAUGGUAAUCAAAAUAUAGCCUUAUGGAAUUCUGCGUUACUGAGCAAUAUUUGUGUUACCUUAUUGCAAUGGUACGUGUCGGACCAGAUACCUCCACGAGCUUCUCUCUUCUUCAUUAACUGGCAAGAUCUGCUGAUCUCGUGCAACAGGACUCUCCUGCCACCACAUCACCCAGUUCCAGAAGAGGGAUAGGCUGGUCACUAAACAUCCCAUCUUUUGCUACCUUCAGAUGCCCCUUGAGCUCAAGGCAUUGCUGUGGAGGCUCCUUCUAAUAGCAACCACUUAGAAAAUGGAAAUCCGACAAGGAAACUUACCUGUUUUCUCAUAUCCUCUGGCCACAAACAGAAGGAAAAAUAAUCUUAAAGUACUAUCUUCUGAGCACAAUUCAAAUUAAAAAAAAAAUAACUAAGAAAAAAAGAGAUCUCUGCACGUGUCACUGGAAAUAUGAUGUUAUUAGAGAAGCUGACAACCUAUCCACACCAGUGCUCUCCAAUACUGUCCGAGAAGAACAGAGAGGAACAGAAAUAGCAGAGGUCCACAGAAGGGUAAUAAAAAUAACAAAGACAUUUAGCGGCCUUCCACAUGACUGCACUUGUUUCAUUUGGGAAAUCUGAAUUUAAACAGUGAGAUAGUAAAAUUGAUCCUUCCUAGCCUUCAUAUAAAAGCAACAGUGCAACUGAUGAAUUGAGAAGUAAAGCCACUUGCAGCUGAUAACACUUCUUCACGGAGUACACAAUUCACUCCUGAUAUUCUAUGACACCAGUUGAGAAGAAUGAAACAGAGAAAUUUUAAAUACCAGCAUAUUUCCUCACUGUGCUAUUCCAAAUGAAAACUAUUACAAAUGAUAAUCAGAAAGCAAGCAACAAGGCAUCUGGGCUAAGAAAAGUGUCAUCCAAAGACAGAAAAGUGGCAAAAUUACAAAAAGGAAGAAACAGUAAGGAGUACAAUACCACCACAGUCAGUGAAGCUCUCCACUCCAACUGAUGCACUGUUUGCUAAAACACAAAGACAUCCACCUCAGUGAAGAGGGGGCAAGCCCUCUGGAAAGGCUUUCUGAUAGCAGAUACUCUGGUGUUCAAAGCUGAACCUCUUACCUUCUGGCACAACCGGCUCUUGACAGCAGAUUUCCUAACAGAUGCCAAGCUAUUCCUAUCAGUUUAACCCCAACAGGACAUUCCUGUUACCCAUAUUAAUCUUAGUAGAUGAGAUGCUGAAGGUUCAGUAGAAAAUACCAAUUAAGCAUUGGUGAUGGGUGGAUGGUUGGACCAGGUGAUCCUGUGGAUCUUUUCCGACCUUGGUGAUUCUAUGAUUCCAUGAUUCUGUGAUCUUUUCUUUGAAGGACUAAUCUGCUGAAACUAAAGCUUCCUGCAAGAAUUGGGCUAUUUAUAGGUAUAUAAGUCUUGCUCAAAUAAAUAAAUAAAUAAAUAAAUAAAUAAAUAGCGUGAAAACAUUUUCUGAAAAUGCC
Molecule: long non-coding RNA, 2125 nt
Organism: Gallus gallus (chicken)
Lineage: Eukaryota; Metazoa; Chordata; Aves; Galliformes; Phasianidae
Exons: 5
Source: RefSeq, a predicted model, not a curated record